GCGGUCGUGGCGAAACACGGCAAACGCGCCGGCUCGAGAAGCCGGUGGGCAUCACGCCCUUGUGGGUUCAACUCCCGCCGACCGCA
RNAcentral lists this transfer RNA (86 nucleotides) under Phycisphaerales bacterium. RNAcentral's name for it is "tRNA-Leu". It matches the Rfam family "tRNA". Rfam says of the family: Transfer RNA (tRNA) molecules are approximately 80 nucleotides in length. Their secondary structure includes four short double-helical elements and three loops (D, anti-codon, and T loops). The record is from RNAcentral. Lineage: Bacteria; Pseudomonadati; Planctomycetota; Phycisphaerae; Phycisphaerales.